AGGCACUGCAGACACAGCUGCUGCGGAAGGAGACAGCCAAAGCUUCCAAGGAAAGAAAUGGCCAAGAUUUGAGAGAAACCUGGCAGCGUCCCCAAGCCUGGCACCGGAUCGCCUCAGACGCACUCGGCUGCUCCGGAGGCGGAGCGCGAGGCACCGGACCCGGCGGGCGGAGCCAGGCCAGCGGGGCGCAGCGCAGCGCCUUCCGCCAGGGCGUCUGGCGCCACCUACCGGCGACCAGGAAACUUUCCACUGAGCAGCAGUUGCUGUGACCACCUGGGCAUCAAAUGGCAAUUAAUUGGAACAGACUUGAUAAAUGAACUGUGGAUGAGAGCGCCGUGUUCAUGACCAGGCGCUUUCCCACCCACCUGCUUAUGCUGCCACAGUGAACACAAAUUUACAUACCUGGAAGAAACAAGACUUUCUGAAGCAUUCGCAAUAAAUGCAAUAAAUGCAGGAAAUCUGUCUGUCGUGGCUAAAACACCCCCACUGCUUCGUUUGGCAUCGUUCUUGUUCAUAUUCAAAGCAUUGGCAGUGUUUCUCCUGACUAGUUUGUGGCAAUUAUCACACUGGUGGUAACUGAAAUGGCUUUUCUAAAUCUAGAACCCGGGUUCCGUGAAAUAGCGAAGAAGAAUUCCCCCUUUAAGGAAUAGGAAUGUUUUUGCAAUAAAACAAAACGGACACC
RNAcentral lists this long non-coding RNA (682 nucleotides) under Mus pahari (shrew mouse). RNAcentral's name for it is "lncRNA (MGP_PahariEiJ_G0003746.1)". The record is from RNAcentral. Lineage: Eukaryota; Metazoa; Chordata; Mammalia; Rodentia; Muridae.